GCGGGGGAGCCGCGCUCGGGGCCGGAGCUGCCGGAGCGAGUCCGGAGAGGGGCGCUGGGGCUGGUGAAGGGUCAGGAGAGCAAAUCCCAUGUGGAGCAGCACCCAGAGGGUGUUCAUCAUGAGAAAUGGGGUCUUGGGAGGGCUUUAUCGCUCUCUACAGCUCCCUGAAAGGAGGCUGCGGACCGGUGAGGGUUGGCCUCUUCUCCCAGCCAGAAGAAAGUGAUGAUGCAAGCAUUUACCUCAAGUGCACUCAGCUAAGAGGCUUGGUCAGAAGAGGAACAAGCACGAGUUACAGCCAACUGCCCCAACAGCUCAGCUGCAAGGAGUUUCCUUGGAACACAGAAGGGAGAAAACACACACCUGGGAUUUCCCAUUCCAAAUAAUCCCUCUUGUGCUGUUUAUCACCCAUGGAGACAGAGCCAAGGUUAUAAUUUUCCAGCUUUGGCUUAUGAUAUGAUGGAAUGGCUGGCCAUGGAACUAACCUGGUGUUUGUGCUCAGCACUGCUGUGAGCUCUGGACUUUGGGAGCCAUCUGUGGACAACUAUUAAUAAUUAUGCCUUUUACCUUUUCACUUGGACAAUCAAUCCGUGGAGGAGACACAUUUUGAAAACUUUCAAUUGGUUGUUUGAACCAGUUCCUAUUGCUAGGUCUCCUGCAUGUGUUCCAGGUCUGGCCUAAAGUCAAACAGCUAUUUAGGAAUCCUACCUAAAUCCCAGACACUUGCCCUGUGACUGGAUGCUUCCCAAGCGGCAGGGUGUGGAGGUGUAUGGGAUUUGCAUGGCCAAGCUUUGGUAGCUGGAGGGGGCUGCAGGGGUGGCUUCUGUGAGAAGCUGCCAGAAGCUUCCUCCAUGUCCAGCAGAGCCACUCCCUGGUGGUCCCAAAGCUGGGCAUGCUGCUGGUCAAGGCAGGGCCAAGUAGAAAUGGUACCACCUCAAUGAUAACAUAUUUAAGAGAAAUAACAAAAAAGAGGUUUUGGCCAGUUGUAAUUGCGGCCAGAGGAUAGUGGGGUGAGAACGUGUGAGAGGAUCAGUCCUGCAGACACCAAGGUCAGCGGAGAAGGAAAGGGAAGAGGUGCUCCAGGCACCAGAGCCGAGAUUCCUCUGCAGCCCGUGGUGAGGCAGCUGUGCCCUUGCAGCCCAUGGAGAUCUGCUUCCACAGGGAGGCAGAUCUCCACCUGCAGCCCAUGGAGAAGUCCAAUGCUGGAGCAGAUGGAUGCCUGAGAGGAAGCUGUUACUCUAGGGGAGGCCCAUGGAGGGAGGAGCCCAUGUUGGAGCAGCCUGUCCUGGAACGACUGCACCCUGCACAAGAGUGACCCACAUUGCAGCAGUUUUGGGAUGAUUGUUGCUCAUGAGAUGGAUUAAUGCUGGAGAAGUUAAUGGAGAAUUGUCUUCCAUGGGAAGGACCCCAUGGAUGAUAGAGCAAAGGAAGAGCUCCUCUCUCUGAGCAGCGGGACAAUGUUGGGUGAUGAACUGACCAUUCCACCCAUUCCUUGUUUCCCUGCACCACUGGAGGAGGAG
Zonotrichia albicollis (white-throated sparrow) is the source of this 1517-nucleotide long non-coding RNA. RefSeq lists it as uncharacterized. NCBI's taxonomy places the organism in Eukaryota, Metazoa, Chordata, Aves, Passeriformes, Passerellidae. The record is from RefSeq and is a predicted model, not a curated record.